Molecule: non-coding RNA, 20 nt
Filed under: Arabidopsis thaliana (thale cress)
Lineage: Eukaryota; Viridiplantae; Streptophyta; Magnoliopsida; Brassicales; Brassicaceae
Source: RNAcentral
UCUGCCUAUUAACUCUCUUU